Molecule: ribosomal RNA, 425 nt
Filed under: Nyikoa limbe
Lineage: Eukaryota; Metazoa; Arthropoda; Arachnida; Araneae; Pholcidae
Description: partial 16S ribosomal RNA
Source: RNAcentral
UUCUUUAAGAUAUAAAUUAAAGUAAUUCCUGCUCAAUGAUUAUAUUAAAUAGCCGCAGUCACCUGUGCUAAGGUAGCAUAAUAAUUUGCUCUCCAAUUAAGAGAUAGAAUGAAAGGACAAACGACUCACAGCUGUUUCAUUUCAAUAAAUUAACUUAAAUUUAUCGUAAAAAAUCGACAAUUUUAAAAAAGAAAGACGAUAAGACCCUAAUAAACUUAUUAAUUAGUUGGGGCGACAAAUUAAAAACACCUUAAUUGUAUUAACAUAAAUAAUUAAAAUUAAAAAAGUCUAGUUACUAUAGGGAUAACAGCGCAAUUUCUUUUAAGAGAUCUUAUCAAAAAAGAAGUUUACGACCUCGAUGUUGAAUUAAUUUACAAACUGGGGCAACCUCCAUAAAAGUUAGUCUGUUCGACUAUUUAAAUAUU